RNAcentral lists this ribosomal RNA (292 nucleotides) under uncultured bacterium. Its description in RNAcentral is "partial 16S ribosomal RNA". It matches the Rfam family "Bacterial small subunit ribosomal RNA", at positions 505 to 796 of the family's 1533-position model. The record is from RNAcentral.
GUGCCAGCCGCCGCGGUAAAACGUAGGUGGCAAGCGUUAUCCGGAUUUACUGGGCGUAAAGCAUGUGCAGACGGGUUGGUAAGUGGUGUAUGAAAGCGUCCGGCUUAACCGGGCAAGCGUAUGCCAGACUGCCAGUCUUGAGAGUGGGAGAGGGACGUGGAAUUCCGGGUGUAGUGGUGAAAUGCGUAGAGAUCCGGAGGAACCCCAGAGGCGAAGGCGGCGUCCUGGCCCAUUUCUGACGUUCAGACAUGACAGCAUGGGGAGCGAACGGGAUUAGAUACCCCCGUAGUCC